Molecule: ribosomal RNA, 1793 nt
Filed under: Pegea confoederata
Lineage: Eukaryota; Metazoa; Chordata; Thaliacea; Salpida; Salpidae
Description: SSU rRNA
Rfam family: Eukaryotic small subunit ribosomal RNA
Source: RNAcentral
UACUUUUCUGGUUAUUCCUGCCAGUAGUCAUAUGCUUGUCUCAAAAAUUAAGCCAUGCAAGUGUAAGUACGAACUCUCGUAUAGUGAAACUGCGAAUGGCUCAUUAAAUCAGUUAUGGUUCAUUUGAUCGUACGCUUUAAUACAUGGAUAACUGUGGCAAAUCUAGAGCUAAUACAUGCAUGAAGCGCCGACUUUUUGGGGGUGUGCAUUUAUCAGACCAAAACUGACCAGGCUUCGGCCUGUCGCGCUGGUGACUCUGGGUAACUUUGCGGAUCGCACGGUUUUGCACCGGCGACAACUUUUUAAAGCAACUGCCCUAUCAACUAUCGUCGGUAGGGUAUCCGCCUACCGGGGUUGUAACGGGUGACGGGGAAUCAGGGUUCGAUUCCGGAGGGGAAGCCUGAGAAACGGCUACCCCAUCCAAGGAAGGCAGCAGGCGCGCAAAUUACCCAUUCCCGACACGGGGGGGUAGUGACGAAAAAUAACAAUACAGGCCUCGAACGGGGUCCUGUAAUUGGAAUGAGUACACUUUAAACGCUUUAACGAGUAUCCAUUGGGGGGCAAGUCUGGUGCCAGCAGCCGCGGUAAUUCCAGCUCCAAAAGUGUAUAUUUAAGUUGUUGCGGUUGAAAAGCUCGUAGUUGGAUUUCGGGAUUGGUCGUUUUGUCCGCCUAUCGGCGCGCACUCGACGUGCCGUCCUAUCGGUUCGGUUUUUCGUCGGUGCUUUUCACCGAGUGUCGGCGUGGUGCGAAGUGUUUACCUUGAAAAAAUUAGAGUGUUCAAAGCAGGCGUGGCAGCCUGAAUAAUGUUGCAUGGAAUAAUGGAAUAGGACCUCGGUUCUAUUUUGUUGGUUUUCGGAGCGCGGGGUAAUGAUUAAGGGGAACGGACGGGGGCAUCCGUACUGUGCCGUUAGGGGUGAAAUUUUUGGAUCGGCGCAAAACGAACGACUGCGAAGGCAUUUGUCAAAAAUGUUUUUUUUAAUCAAAAGCGAAAGUCAGGGGUUCGAAAACGAUCAGAUACCGUCCUAGUUCUGACCUUAAACGAUGCCGACUAGCGAUCGGGCAGUGUCGUACCUAUGAGACCUGCCCGGCAGCUUCCGGGAAACCAAAGUUUUUGGGUUCCGGGGGAAGUAUGGUUGCAAAGCUGAAACUUAAAGGAAUUGACGGAAGGGCACCCCCAGGAGUGGAGCCUGCGGCUUAAUUUGACUCAACACGGGGAAUCUCACCCGGCCCGGACACAGCGGGGAUUGACAGAUUGAGAGCUUUUUCUUGAUUCUGUGGGUGGUGGUGCAUGGCCGUUUUUAGUUGGUGGAGCGAUUUGUCUGGUUAAUUCCGAUAACGAACGAGACUUUUACUUGCUAAAUAGUCGCUUCACCGCCAAUGGCGGCGGAGUCGGACUUUUUAGGGGGACUAGUGGCGUUUAGCCCCACGAGAUUGAGCAAUAACAGGUCUGUGAUGCCCUUAGAUGUUCGGGGCCGCACGCGCGCUACACUGACCGGAUCAUCGUGCUUUAAAAGUCCUGGUUCGAAAAAACUGGGUAAUCCGUUGAACCCCGGUCGUGCUAGGGAUAGGGACUUGCAAUUGUUUCCCUUGAACGGGGAAUUCCCAGUAAGCGCGAGUCAUCAGCUCGCGUUGAUUACGUCCCUGCCCUUUGUACACACCGCCCGUCGCUACUACCGAUUGAAUGGUUUAGUGGGGUUUUCCGAUUGGCCAGAGCGUAGUCGGCAACGACGGCGCUUUUGUCCGAAAAAACGAUCGAACUUGAUCAUUUAGGGGAAGUAAAAGUCGUAACAAAA